Molecule: ribosomal RNA, 254 nt
Filed under: uncultured bacterium
Lineage: Bacteria
Description: partial 16S ribosomal RNA
Rfam family: Bacterial small subunit ribosomal RNA
Source: RNAcentral
UACAGAGGUCUCAAGCGUUGUUCGGAUUCAUUGGGCGUAAAGGGUGCGUAGGUGGCGCCAUAAGUCAGGUGUGAAAUCUCGGGGCCUCAACCCCGAAACUGCACUUGAUACUGUGGUGCUCGAGUACUGGAGAGGAGAUUGGAAUUUACGGUGUAGCAGUGAAAUGCGUAGAUAUCGUAAGGAAGACCAGUGGCGAAGGCGAAUCUCUGGACAGUUACUGACACUGAGGCACGAAGGCCAGGGGAGCAAACGGG